UCUGAUCAUAAUUUUGAGUUGUGUAUAUAACAGAUUUACAGAAAUUCAUUUCAUUUCUUUUUAAUUGUUUUUGUAUUUGUAUGUUUGUACAUUUUUCUGUUAAUAUAUCCAUUAUAUGUUGUGUUCUAUGUCCUAUUGUCCAUUUUAAAUUCGGGUUAGCAACUACCCCAUCUCUCUUAUACCAUCUAUCUUCUAUUUCUCUUCCUAAGGCUUCAGGUAAUUUAUUGAACAAUUUUUU
This 238-nucleotide long non-coding RNA is filed under the name Capsicum annuum. RNAcentral's name for it is "long non-coding RNA (CANN_LNC021504)". The record is from RNAcentral. Lineage: Eukaryota; Viridiplantae; Streptophyta; Magnoliopsida; Solanales; Solanaceae.